RNAcentral lists this transfer RNA (62 nucleotides) under Rattus norvegicus (Norway rat). It matches the Rfam family "tRNA". From Rfam's summary of the family: Transfer RNA (tRNA) molecules are approximately 80 nucleotides in length. Their secondary structure includes four short double-helical elements and three loops (D, anti-codon, and T loops). The record is from Rfam by way of RNAcentral. Lineage: Eukaryota; Metazoa; Chordata; Mammalia; Rodentia; Muridae.
GGGGAUUUAGCUCAAUGGUAGAGCGCUUGCCUAGCAAGCACAAGGUCCUGGUUCAGUCCCCA